Molecule: ribosomal RNA, 617 nt
Filed under: Nemertesia antennina complex sp. cryptic lineage 1
Lineage: Eukaryota; Metazoa; Cnidaria; Hydrozoa; Leptothecata; Plumulariidae
Description: partial 16S ribosomal RNA
Rfam family: Bacterial large subunit ribosomal RNA
Source: RNAcentral
UUUACCAAAAACAUAGCCCCAGAUCUUAUCUGAGGUGAUGCCUGCCCAAUGGUUAUUAAAAUUUUAUAGUUAAAAAAUAAAACAAGAACUUAAUGGCCGCAGUAUUCCUGACUGUGUUAAGGUAGCACAAUCAAUCGCCGCUUAAUUGGCGGAUAGUAUGAAUGGUAAUACGAAGAUUUCACUGUCUCAAAUGUAGGCCUAUAAAAAUUGAAAUAAUAGUCAAGAUGCUAUUUAAAAUCGUAAGACGACAAGACCCUAUAAAGCUUAACUACAACCCUUAAACUAUUAUGAAUUAAGGGUUUGGUAGUUUACUUGGGGCAAGGGCUUUUUAAAUCUAAAAAAAGUAAGCAAAAUAAAUAAAAUAUUUAUUGUAUAAAAAAUAAUUUUAACAAUCACAAUGUGGGCUAUAAUGACCCGUUUAUACUUAAAAAAACAGAUAAACAAUUAUUAAAUAAAAGCUACUUUAGGGAUAACAGGAUAAUUUCAUCAAAGAGUUCCUAUCGCCGAUGAAGUUUGUCACCUCGAUGUUGAAUUAAGAUAUCCUAGCGGAGCAGAAGCUGCUAAAGGUAGGUCUGUUCGACCUUUAAACAUCUUACAUGAUUUGAGUUCAUUCCGUA